Molecule: ribosomal RNA, 165 nt
Filed under: Atrocalyx bambusae
Lineage: Eukaryota; Fungi; Ascomycota; Dothideomycetes; Pleosporales; Lophiotremataceae
Description: partial large subunit ribosomal RNA
Rfam family: Eukaryotic large subunit ribosomal RNA
Source: RNAcentral
CGGCAAGAGCUCAAAUUUGAAAUCUGGCCCUUUCAGGGUCCGAGUUGUAAUUUGUAGAGGGCGCUUUGGCGUCGGCUACGGCCUAAGUUCCUUGGAACAGGACGUCACAGAGGGUGAGAACCCCGUACGUGGCCGCUAGCCUUCGCCGUGUAAAGCCCCUUCGAC